CGGNUGCUACANUGCAGUCGAACGGUGAAGCCAAGCUUGCUUGGUGGAUCAGUGGCGAACGGGUGAGUAACACGUAGCAACCUGCCCUGGACUCUGGGAUAAGCGCUGGAAACGGUGUCUAAUACUGGAUAUGAGCUCUCAUCGCAUGGUGGGGGUUGGAAAGAUUUUUCGGUCUGGGAUGGGCUCGCGGCCUAUCAGCUUGUUGGUGAGGUAAUGGCUUACCAAGGCGUCGACGGGUAGCCGGCCUGAGAGGGUGACCGGCCACACUGGGACUGAGACACGGCCCAGACUCCUACGGGAGGCAGCAGUGGGGAAUAUUGCACAAUGGGCGGAAGCCUGAUGCAGCAACGCCGCGUGAGGGAUGACGGCCUUCGGGUUGUAAACCUCUUUUAGCAGGGAAGAAGCGAGAGUGACGGUACCUGCAGAAAAAGCGCCGGCUAACUACGUGCCAGCAGCCGCGGUAAUACGUAGGGCGCAAGCGUUAUCCGGAAUUAUUGGGCGUAAAGAGCUCGUAGGCGGUUUGUCGCGUCUGCUGUGAAAUCCCGAGGCUCAACCUCGGGCCUGCAGUGGGUACGGGCAGACUAGAGUGCGGUAGGGGAGAUUGGAAUUCCUGGUGUAGCGGUGGAAUGCGCAGAUAUCAGGAGGAACACCGAUGGCGAAGGCAGAUCUCUGGGCCGUAACUGACGCUGAGGAGCGAAAGGGUGGGGAGCAAACAGGCUUAGAUACCCUGGUAGUCCACCCCGUAAACGUUGGGAACUAGUUGUGGGGACCAUUCCACGGUUUCCGUGACGCAGCUAACGCAUUAAGUUCCCCGCCUGGGGAGUACGGCCGCAAGGCUAAAACUCAAAGGAAUUGACGGGGACCCGCACAAGCGGCGGAGCAUGCGGAUUAAUUCGAUGCAACGCGAAGAACCUUACCAAGGCUUGACAUACACCAGAA
RNAcentral lists this ribosomal RNA (939 nucleotides) under uncultured bacterium. RNAcentral's name for it is "bacterial SSU rRNA". It matches the Rfam family "Bacterial small subunit ribosomal RNA", at positions 43 to 996 of the family's 1533-position model. The record is from RNAcentral.